This 1244-nucleotide ribosomal RNA is filed under the name Limosilactobacillus reuteri. RNAcentral describes it as "bacterial SSU rRNA". It matches the Rfam family "Bacterial small subunit ribosomal RNA", at positions 88 to 1319 of the family's 1533-position model. The record is from RNAcentral. Lineage: Bacteria; Bacillati; Bacillota; Bacilli; Lactobacillales; Lactobacillaceae.
CCAGUGAGUGGCGGACGGGUGAGUAACACGUAGGUAACCUGCCCCGGAGCGGGGGAUAACAUUUGGAAACAGAUGCUAAUACCGCAUAACAACAAAAGCCGCAUGGCUUUUGUUUGAAAGAUGGCUUUGGCUAUCACUCUGGGAUGGACCUGCGGUGCAUUAGCUAGUUGGUAAGGUAACGGCUUACCAAGGCGAUGAUGCAUAGCCGAGUUGAGAGACUGAUCGGCCACAAUGGAACUGAGACACGGUCCAUACUCCUACGGGAGGCAGCAGUAGGGAAUCUUCCACAAUGGGCGCAAGCCUGAUGGAGCAACACCGCGUGAGUGAAGAAGGGUUUCGGCUCGUAAAGCUCUGUUGUUGGAGAAGAACGUGCGUGAGAGUAACUGUUCACGCAGUGACGGUAUCCAACCAGAAAGUCACGGCUAACUACGUGCCAGCAGCCGCGGUAAUACGUAGGUGGCAAGCGUUAUCCGGAUUUAUUGGGCGUAAAGCGAGCGCAGGCGGUUGCUUAGGUCUGAUGUGAAAGCCUUCGGCUUAACCGAAGAAGUGCAUCGGAAACCGGGCGACUUGAGUGCAGAAGAGGACAGUGGAACUCCAUGUGUAGCGGUGGAAUGCGUAGAUAUAUGGAAGAACACCAGUGGCGAAGGCGGCUGUCUGGUCUGCAACUGACGCUGAGGCUCGAAAGCAUGGGUAGCGAACAGGAUUAGAUACCCUGGUAGUCCAUGCCGUAAACGAUGAGUGCUAGGUGUUGGAGGGUUUCCGCCCUUCAGUGCCGGAGCUAACGCAUUAAGCACUCCGCCUGGGGAGUACGACCGCAAGGUUGAAACUCAAAGGAAUUGACGGGGGCCCGCACAAGCGGUGGAGCAUGUGGUUUAAUUCGAAGCUACGCGAAGAACCUUACCAGGUCUUGACAUCUUGCGCUAACCUUAGAGAUAAGGCGUUCCCUUCGGGGACGCAAUGACAGGUGGUGCAUGGUCGUCGUCAGCUCGUGUCGUGAGAUGUUGGGUUAAGUCCCGCAACGAGCGCAACCCUUGUUACUAGUUGCCAGCAUUGAGUUGGGCACUCUAGUGAGACUGCCGGUGACAAACCGGAGGAAGGUGGGGACGACGUCAGAUCAUCAUGCCCCUUAUGACCUGGGCUACACACGUGCUACAAUGGACGGUACAACGAGUCGCAAACUCGCGAGAGUAAGCUAAUCUCUUAAAGCCGUUCUCAGUUCGGACUGUAGGCUGCAACUCGCCUAC